RNAcentral lists this ribosomal RNA (473 nucleotides) under uncultured bacterium. Its description in RNAcentral is "SSU rRNA". It matches the Rfam family "Bacterial small subunit ribosomal RNA", at positions 26 to 518 of the family's 1533-position model. The record is from RNAcentral.
AGGACGAACGCUGGCGGCGUGCUUAACACAUGCAAGUCGAGCGGAAAGGCCCUUCGGGGUACUCGAGCGGCGAACGGGUGAGUAACACGUGAGUAACCUGCCCCUAGCUCUGGGAUAGCUCCGGGAAACCGGGAUUAAUACCAGAUACGACCACUUUAGACAUCUGUCGUGGUGGAAAGGAUUCCGGCUAGGGAUGGGCUCGCGGCCUAUCAGCUUGUUGGUGGGGUAACGGCCUACCAAGGCGACGACGGGUAGCCGGCCUGAGAGGGCGACCGGCCACACUGGGACUGAGACACGGCCCAGACUCCUACGGGAGGCAGCAGUGGGGAAUAUUGCGCAAUGGGCGAAAGCCUGACGCAGCGACGCCGCGUGGGGGAUGAAGGCCUUCGGGUUGUAAACCCCUUUCAGCAGGGACGAAGCGAAGUGACGGUACCUGCAGAAGAAGCGCCGGCUAACUACGCGCCAGCAGCCGC